RNAcentral lists this ribosomal RNA (495 nucleotides) under uncultured bacterium. Its description in RNAcentral is "partial 16S ribosomal RNA". It matches the Rfam family "Bacterial small subunit ribosomal RNA", at positions 29 to 506 of the family's 1533-position model. The record is from RNAcentral.
AUGAACGCUGGCGGCGUGCCUAAUACAUGCAAGUCGAGCGAACAGACGAGGAGCUUGCUCCUCUGACGUUAGCGGCGGACGGGUGAGUAACACGUGGAUAACCUACCUAUAAGACUGGGAUAACUUCGGGAAACCGGAGCUAAUACCGGAUAAUAUAUUGAACCGCAUGGUUCAAUAGUGAAAGACGGUUUUGCUGUCACUUAUAGAUGGAUCCGCGCCGCAUUAGCUAGUUGGUAAGGUAACGGCUUACCAAGGCAACGAUGCGUAGCCGACCUGAGAGGGUGAUCGGCUACACUGGAACUGAGACACGGUCCAGACUCCUACGGGAGGCAGCAGUAGGGAAUCUUCCGCAAUGGGCGAAAGCCUGACGGAGCAACGCCGCGUGAGUGAUGAAGGUCUUCGGAUCGUAAAACUCUGUUAUUAGGGAAGAACAAAUGUGUAAGUAACUAUGCACGUCUUGACGGUACCUAAUCAGAAAGCCACGGCUAACUACGU